This 292-nucleotide ribosomal RNA is filed under the name uncultured bacterium. Its description in RNAcentral is "partial 16S ribosomal RNA". It matches the Rfam family "Bacterial small subunit ribosomal RNA", at positions 505 to 796 of the family's 1533-position model. The record is from RNAcentral.
GUGUCAGCAGCCGCGGUAAUACGUAGGGGGCAAGCGUUGUCCGGAAUCAUUGGGCGUAAAGCGCGUGUAGGCGGUUUGAUAAGUCCGCUCUGAAAGUCCGGGGCUCAACCCCGGAAGGCGGGUGGAUACUGUCAGACUAGAGUGCGGAAGAGGCGAGUGGAAUUCCCGGUGUAGCGGUGAAAUGCGCAGAUAUCGGGAGGAACACCAAUUGCGAAGGCAGCUCGCUGGGACGUUACUGACGCUGAGACGCGAAAGCGUGGGGAGCAAACAGGAUUAGAAACCCGUGUAGUCC